AUUGAACGCUGGCGGCAGGCUUAACACAUGCAAGUCGAACGAGUGGCGGACGGGUGAGUAAUGUCUGGGAAACUGGCUGAUGGAGGGGGAUAACUACUGGAAACGGUAGCUAAUACCGCAUACCAUCGGAUGAGCCCAGAUGGGAUUAGGUAGUAGGUGGGGUAAAGGCUCACCAAGGCGACGAUCCCUAGCUGGUCUGAGAGGAUGACCAGCCACACUGGGACUGAGACACGGUCCAGACUCCUACGGGAGGCAGCAGUGUGGAAUAUUGCGCAAUGGGCGCAAUCCUGAUGCAGCCAUGCCGCGUGUAUGAAGAAGGCCUUCGGGUUGUAAAGUUCUUUCGGCGGGGAGGCGUUACCCGCAGAAGAAGCACCGGCUAACUCCGUGCCAGCAGCCGCGGUAAUAC
RNAcentral lists this ribosomal RNA (406 nucleotides) under uncultured bacterium. Its description in RNAcentral is "partial 16S ribosomal RNA". It matches the Rfam family "Bacterial small subunit ribosomal RNA", at positions 30 to 526 of the family's 1533-position model. The record is from RNAcentral.